Molecule: ribosomal RNA, 576 nt
Filed under: uncultured eukaryote
Lineage: Eukaryota
Description: SSU rRNA
Rfam family: Eukaryotic small subunit ribosomal RNA
Source: RNAcentral
UUUGUUACUUCAAACCAAUCGGACUUCGGUCUGACAUCAAGUGAUAUUGAACAAUUUAGCUGAUCGCACGGUCUAAGAACCGGCGACAUAUCCUCCAAAUGUCUGCCUUAUCAACUUUCGAUGGUAGAUUAUGCGCCUACCAUGGUUGUAACGGGUAACGGAGAAUCAGGGUUUGAUUCCGGAGAGGGAGCCUGAGAAACGGCUACCACAUCCAAGGAAGGCAGCAGGCACGCAAAUUACCCACUCCCGGCACGGGGAGGUAGUGACGAAAAAUAACAAGCUGGUCUCAAUGAGUUCCAGCAUUGUAAUGGGAACAAUUUAAAUCUUUUAUCGAGGAUCUAUUGGAGGGCAAGUCUGGUGCCAGCAGCCGCGGUAAUUCCAGCUCCAAUAGCGCAUAUUAAAGUUGUUGCGGUUAAAAAGCUCGUAGUUGGAUCUAGGAUUAGGGCUACGGUCGUUCAGCUUGGACGUACUGUAUGCCCGACUCCUUUUCUCUAGUAUUCGAUUGUUGCUCUUAAAUGAGUGACUUUAGUUGCUGGAACUUUUACCUUGAAAAAAUUGAAGUGCUCAAAGCAGGUU